AUUGAACGCUGGCGGCAGGCCUAACACAUGCAAGUCGAGCGGAUGAAGGGAGAUUGCUCCUGGAUUCAGCGGCGGACGGGUGAGUAAUGCCUAGGAAUCUGCCUGGUAGUGGGGGAUAACGUCCGGAAACGGGCGCUAAUACCGCAUACGUCCUGAGGGAGAAAGUGGGGGAUCUUCGGACCUCACGCUAUCAGAUGAGCCUAGGUCGGAUUAGCUAGUUGGUGGGGUAAAGGCCUACCAAGGCGACGAUCCGUAACUGGUCUGAGAGGAUGAUCAGUCACACUGGAACUGAGACACGGUCCAGACUCCUACGGGAGGCAGCAGUGGGGAAUAUUGGACAAAGGGCGAAAGCCUGAUCCAGCCAUGCCGCGUGAGUGAAGAAGGUCUUCGGAUUGUAAAGCACUUUAAGUUGGGAGGAAGGGCAGUAAGUUAAUACCUUGCUGUUUUGACGUUACCAACAGAAUAAGCACCGGCUAACUUCGUG
Molecule: ribosomal RNA, 484 nt
Filed under: uncultured bacterium
Lineage: Bacteria
Description: partial 16S ribosomal RNA
Rfam family: Bacterial small subunit ribosomal RNA
Source: RNAcentral